UACGGGGGGAGCAAGCGUUGUUCGGAUUUACUGGGCGUAAAGGGCGCGUAGGCGGCCAGCACAAGUCAGUUGUGAAAUCUCCGAGCUUAACUCGGAAAGGUCAACUGAUACUGUGCGGCUAGAGUGCGGAAGGGGCAACUGGAAUUCUUGGUGUAGCGGUGAAAUGCGUAGAUAUCAAGAGGAACACCUGCGGCGAAGGCGGGUUGCUGGACCGACACUGACGCUGAGGCGCGAAAGCCAGGGGAGCGAACGGG
RNAcentral lists this ribosomal RNA (254 nucleotides) under uncultured bacterium. RNAcentral's name for it is "partial 16S ribosomal RNA". It matches the Rfam family "Bacterial small subunit ribosomal RNA", at positions 524 to 776 of the family's 1533-position model. The record is from RNAcentral.